UACGAAGGGGGCUAGCGUUGCUCGGAAUCACUGGGCGUAAAGGGUGCGUAGGCGGGUCUUUAAGUCAGGGGUGAAAUCCUGGAGCUCAACUCCAGAACUGCCUUUGAUACUGAAGAUCUUGAGUUCGGGAGAGGUGAGUGGAACUGCGAGUGUAGAGGUGAAAUUCGUAGAUAUUCGGAAGAACACCAGUGGCGAAGGCGACUUACUGGACGAUUGUUGACGCUGAGGCUCGAAAGCGUGGGGAGCAAACAGG
This 253-nucleotide ribosomal RNA is filed under the name uncultured bacterium. RNAcentral describes it as "partial 16S ribosomal RNA". It matches the Rfam family "Bacterial small subunit ribosomal RNA", at positions 524 to 776 of the family's 1533-position model. The record is from RNAcentral.